GACGAACGCUGGCGGCGUGCUUAACACAUGCAAGUCGAACGGAAAGGCCCUGCUUGCAGGGUGCUCGAGUGGCGAACGGGUGAGUAACACGUGGGUGAUCUGCCCCUUACUUUGGGAUAAGCCUGGGAAACUGGGUCUAAUACUGGAUAGGACCAUGCUGUAGGUCGUGUGGUGGAAAGAUUAGUUUCGGUAAGGGAUGAGCUCGCGGCCUAUCAGCUUGUUGGUGGGGUAAUGGCCUACCAAGGCGUCGACGGGUAGCCGGCCUGAGAGGGUGGACGGCCACAUUGGGACUGAGAUACGGCCCAGACUCCUACGGGAGGCAGCAGUGGGGAAUAUUGCACAAUGGGCGCAAGCCUGAUGCAGCGACGCCGCGUGGGGGAUGACGGCCUUCGGGUUGUAAACUCCUUUCAGCCAUGACGAAGCCCUUGUGGUGACGGUAGUGGUAGAAGAAGCACCGGCUAACUACGUG
This 469-nucleotide ribosomal RNA is filed under the name uncultured bacterium. Its description in RNAcentral is "partial 16S ribosomal RNA". It matches the Rfam family "Bacterial small subunit ribosomal RNA", at positions 28 to 507 of the family's 1533-position model. The record is from RNAcentral.